Molecule: transfer RNA, 72 nt
Filed under: Ovis aries (sheep)
Lineage: Eukaryota; Metazoa; Chordata; Mammalia; Artiodactyla; Bovidae
Also listed under: 1 other name
Rfam family: tRNA
About the family: Transfer RNA (tRNA) molecules are approximately 80 nucleotides in length. Their secondary structure includes four short double-helical elements and three loops (D, anti-codon, and T loops). Further hydrogen bonds mediate the characteristic L-shaped molecular structure. tRNAs have two regions of fundamental functional importance: the anti-codon, which is responsible for specific mRNA codon recognition, and the 3' end, to which the tRNAs corresponding amino acid is attached (by aminoacyl-tRNA synthetases). tRNAs cope with the degeneracy of the genetic code in two manners: having more than one tRNA (with a specific anti-codon) for a particular amino acid; and 'wobble' base-pairing, i.e. permitting non-standard base-pairing at the 3rd anti-codon position.
Source: Rfam by way of RNAcentral
UCCCUGGUGGCUCAGAGGUUAAAGUGUCUGCCUCCAAUGCGGGAGACCUGGGUUCGAUCCCUGGGUGGGGAA